CCCAGACUCCUACGGGAGGCAGCAGUGGGGGAUAUUGCACAAUGGGGGAAACCCUGAUGCAGCGACGCCGCGUGAGUGAAGAAGUAUUUCGGUAUGUAAAGCUCUAUCAGCAGGGAAGAAAAAAGACGGUACCUGACUAAGAAGCCCCGGCUAACCACGUGCCAGCAGCCGCGGUAAUACGUAGGGGGCAAGCGUUAUCCGGAUUUACUGGGUGUAAAGGGAGCGUAGACGGCAAUACAAGUCGGAAGUGAAAUACCCGGGCUUAACCUGGGAACUGCUUUGGAAACUGUAUGGCUGGAGUGCUGGAGAGGUAAGCGGAAUUCCUAGUGUAGCGGUGAAAUGCGUAGAUAUUAGGAGGAACACCAGUGGCGAAGGCGGCUUACUGGACAGUAACUGACGUUGAGGCUCGAAAGCGUGGGGAGCAAACAGGAUUAGAUACCCCGGUA
Molecule: ribosomal RNA, 446 nt
Filed under: uncultured bacterium
Lineage: Bacteria
Description: bacterial SSU rRNA
Rfam family: Bacterial small subunit ribosomal RNA
Source: RNAcentral